This 253-nucleotide ribosomal RNA is filed under the name uncultured bacterium. Its description in RNAcentral is "partial 16S ribosomal RNA". It matches the Rfam family "Bacterial small subunit ribosomal RNA", at positions 524 to 776 of the family's 1533-position model. The record is from RNAcentral.
UACAGAGGUGGCGAGCGUUGUUCGGAUUUACUGGGCGUAAAGGGCGCGUAGGCGGUUUUGUGUGUCGGAUGUGAAAUCCCACUGCUCAACGGUGGAACUGCGUUCGAAACUGCAAAACUAGAGUGUAGGAUGGGAGAGUGGAAUUCAAGGUGUAGCGGUGAAAUGCGUUGAUAUCUUGAAGAACACCGGUGGCGAAGGCGGCUCUCUGGAAUACUACUGACGCUGAGGCGCGAAAGCUGGGGGAGCAAACAGG